UUAAAUUGAAGAGUUUGAUCAUGGCUCAGAUUGAACGCUGGCGGCAGGCCUAACACAUGCAAGUCGAACGGUAGCACAGAGGAGCUUGC
This 89-nucleotide ribosomal RNA is filed under the name Citrobacter freundii. RNAcentral's name for it is "partial 16S ribosomal RNA". It matches the Rfam family "Bacterial small subunit ribosomal RNA", at positions 1 to 87 of the family's 1533-position model. Lineage: Bacteria; Pseudomonadati; Pseudomonadota; Gammaproteobacteria; Enterobacterales; Enterobacteriaceae. The record is from RNAcentral.